AGGAUCAUUACUGAGUUGCUGACAGAGUUGUUGCUGGUCCUCUCAAAUGGGGGACAUGUGCACACUCUGUCUGUAUAUCCACUCACACCUGUGCACCCUCUGUAGUUCUAUGGCCUGGGGGAUUUCCGUCCUCCUUCUGUGGUUCUGCAUCUCUACACACACACACUGUAUCAAAGUCUCAUGGAAUGUAUGCCGCGAUUAUAACGCAAUGCAAUACAACUUUCAGCAACGGAUCUCUUGGCUCUCGCAUCGAUGAAGAACGCAGCGAAAUGCGAUAAGUAAUGUGAAUUGCAGAAUUCAGUGAAUCAUCGAAUCUUUGAACGCACCUUGCGCCCUUUGGCCAUUCCGAAGGGCAUGCCUGUUUGAGUAUCAUGAACAUCUCAACUCUCAUGGUUUUUCCAUGAUGAGCUUGGACUUUGGGGGUCUUGCUGGCCUGCGGUCGGCUCCUCUCAAAUGCAUCAGCUUACCAGUGUUUGGUGGCAUCGCAGGUGUGAUAACUAUCUACGCUCGUGAUUUUCCACCAGGUGACCUUCAGAAAUGGAGGCUCACUGGAGCUCAUAGUCGUCUCUCCUCAGUGAGGACAGCUCUUUGAAUGUUUGAUCUCAAAUCAGGUAGGAUUACCCGCUGAACUUAA
This 634-nucleotide ribosomal RNA is filed under the name uncultured fungus. RNAcentral describes it as "eukaryotic LSU rRNA". The stretch from base 218 to 372 matches the Rfam family "5.8S ribosomal RNA". Lineage: Eukaryota; Fungi. The record is from RNAcentral.